AGCGAACGCUGGCGGCAGGCUUAACACAUGCAAGUCGAGCGGGCAUCCUUGUGGUGUCAGCGGCAGACGGGUGAGUAACGCGUGGGAACGUGCCCUUCGGUUCGGAAUAACUCAGGGAAACUUGAGCUAAUACCGGAUACGUGCGAGAGCAGAAAGGUUUAUCUGCCGAAGGAUCGGCCCGCGUCUGAUUAGCUAGUUGGUGAGGUUACGGCUCACCAAGGCGACGAUCAGUAGCUGGUCUGAGAGGAUGAUCAGCCACACUGGGACUGAGACACGGCCCAGACUCCUACGGGAGGCAGCAGUGGGGAAUAUUGGAGAAUGGGGGCAACCCUGAUCCAGCCAUGCCGCGUGAGUGAUGACGGCCUUAGGGUUGUAAAGCUCUUUUCUCCGGGACGAUAAUGACGGUACCGGAGGAAUAAGCCCCGGCUAACUUCGUG
RNAcentral lists this ribosomal RNA (437 nucleotides) under uncultured bacterium. Its description in RNAcentral is "partial 16S ribosomal RNA". It matches the Rfam family "Bacterial small subunit ribosomal RNA", at positions 29 to 507 of the family's 1533-position model. The record is from RNAcentral.